CAAAAUGUCGCUUAAUGAAAGCACCUCGCUUACACCGAGGAGAUAUCUGUGAAACCCAUAUCAUUUUGA
This 69-nucleotide transfer RNA is filed under the name Dendropsophus miyatai (Hosteria La Selva treefrog). RNAcentral's name for it is "tRNA-Val". It matches the Rfam family "tRNA". Rfam says of the family: Transfer RNA (tRNA) molecules are approximately 80 nucleotides in length. Their secondary structure includes four short double-helical elements and three loops (D, anti-codon, and T loops). Further hydrogen bonds mediate the characteristic L-shaped molecular structure. tRNAs have two regions of fundamental functional importance: the anti-codon, which is responsible for specific mRNA codon recognition, and the 3' end, to which the tRNAs corresponding amino acid is attached (by aminoacyl-tRNA synthetases). tRNAs cope with the degeneracy of the genetic code in two manners: having more than one tRNA (with a specific anti-codon) for a particular amino acid; and 'wobble' base-pairing, i.e. permitting non-standard base-pairing at the 3rd anti-codon position. Lineage: Eukaryota; Metazoa; Chordata; Amphibia; Anura; Hylidae. The record is from RNAcentral.